Molecule: long non-coding RNA, 315 nt
Organism: Monodelphis domestica (gray short-tailed opossum)
Lineage: Eukaryota; Metazoa; Chordata; Mammalia; Didelphimorphia; Didelphidae
Source: RefSeq, a predicted model, not a curated record
ACUGGCACUCAGAGUAGCCCUUCUGCAGCCCCAGGUAUAACCCACUCGGAGCCGGAUGGGCUAGAUGUUCUAUCUUCAGCUGGACCCUCUAGCUGGCCGUGUUGUCCAAAGCCCUGUGGGUAUCCAUGAGCUUGGUUUCAUAUGGCACUGCAGGAGAGGAAGCUACAAAAGAAUGGGAGAUAUGGACUUGAUUGGGACCCUCUCCAGCUUAUCAUCAUCAUUGGCUUCUUCUCGGUGCUUCUGAAACCCGGGACAGGAAGAUGCCACAAACCCACUCACUGUGUAGUUGUUCAUCAAUAAACUCAUUAGCUGAAA